GACACGAUGGCCGAGUGGUCUAAGGCGCUGGUUUUAGGCACCAGUCUUCAUUGGUAAUAAUACCGUGGGUUCAAAUCCCACUCGUGUCA
Molecule: transfer RNA, 89 nt
Filed under: Phytophthora nicotianae P1569
Lineage: Eukaryota; Oomycota; Peronosporomycetes; Peronosporales; Peronosporaceae
Description: tRNA F443_22806
Rfam family: tRNA
About the family: Transfer RNA (tRNA) molecules are approximately 80 nucleotides in length. Their secondary structure includes four short double-helical elements and three loops (D, anti-codon, and T loops).
Source: Rfam by way of RNAcentral